AAUAAAUCGAUCUUUCAUUUUUUAUCUAUAAUUUUUAACUAUUCGUCUUAUUUAAAAAAUUAUAAUUACUAUUUUUGUUUAUAUUGAAUGAUAAAUUAUGAAUAGUACUUUAUGUGUGACUAAUUUAUUUUAAAUUUCUUAAAAAAAUUUUAAAUAAGACCAAUGAUCAAACGAUGGACACGGAAAUUAAAAAAUUAUCUUAUU
RNAcentral lists this microRNA precursor (204 nucleotides) under Oryza brachyantha (malo sina). RNAcentral describes it as "MIR812 microRNA precursor family". It matches the Rfam family "MIR812 microRNA precursor family". Lineage: Eukaryota; Viridiplantae; Streptophyta; Magnoliopsida; Poales; Poaceae. The record is from Rfam by way of RNAcentral.